This 995-nucleotide ribosomal RNA is filed under the name uncultured bacterium. RNAcentral describes it as "bacterial SSU rRNA". It matches the Rfam family "Bacterial small subunit ribosomal RNA", at positions 356 to 1376 of the family's 1533-position model. The record is from RNAcentral.
GGGGAAUAUUGCACAAUGGGGGAAACCCUGAUGCAGCGACGCCGCGUGGAGGAAGAAGGUCUUCGGAUUGUAAACUCCUGUUGUUGAGGAAGAUAAUGACGGUACUCAACAAGGAAGUGACGGCUAACUACGUGCCAGCAGCCGCGGUAAAACGUAGGUCACAAGCGUUGUCCGGAAUUACUGGGUGUAAAGGGAGCGCAGGCGGGAAGACAAGUUGGAAGUGAAAUCUAUGGGCUCAACCCAUAAACUGCUUUCAAAACUGUUUUUCUUGAGUAGUGCAGAGGUAGGCGGAAUUCCCGGUGUAGCGGUGGAAUGCGUAGAUAUCGGGAGGAACACCAGUGGCGAAGGCGGCCUACUGGGCACCAACUGACGCUGAGGCUCGAAAGUGUGGGUAGCAAACAGGAUUAGAUACCCUGGUAGUCCACACCGUAAACGAUGAUUACUAGGUGUUGGAGGAUUGACCCCUUCAGUGCCGCAGUUAACACAAUAAGUAAUCCACCUGGGGAGUACGACCGCAAGGUUGAAACUCAAAGGAAUUGACGGGGGCCCGCACAAGCAGUGGAGUAUGUGGUUUAAUUCGACGCAACGCGAAGAACCUUACCAAGUCUUGACAUCCCUUGACGAACAUAGAAAUAUGUUUUCUCUUCGGAGCAAGGAGACAGGUGGUGCAUGGUUGUCGUCAGCUCGUGUCGUGAGAUGUUGGGUUAAGUCCCGCAACGAGCGCAACCCUUACUGUCAGUUACUACGCAAGAGGACUCUGGCCAGACUGCCGUUGACAAAACGGAGGAAGGUGGGGAUGACGUCAAAUCAUCAUGCCCUUUAUGACUUGGGCUACACACGUACUACAAUGGCGUUAAACAAAGAGAAGCAAGACCGCGAGGUGGAGCAAAACUCAGAAACAACGUCCCAGUUCGGACUGCAGGCUGCAACUCGCCUGCACGAAGUCGGAAUUGCUAGUAAUCGUGGAUCAGCAUGCCACGGUGAAUACGUUCCCG